This 253-nucleotide ribosomal RNA is filed under the name uncultured bacterium. RNAcentral describes it as "partial 16S ribosomal RNA". It matches the Rfam family "Bacterial small subunit ribosomal RNA", at positions 524 to 776 of the family's 1533-position model. The record is from RNAcentral.
UACGUAGGGGGCAAGCGUUGUCCGGAAUUAUUGGGCGUAAAGGGCUCGUAGGCGGCCAACUAAGUCGGACGUGAAAUCCCUCGGCUUAACCGGGGAACUGCGUCCGAUACUGGAUGGCUUGAGUUCGGGAGAGGGAUGCGGAAUUCCAGGUGUAGCGGUGAAAUGCGUAGAUAUCUGGAGGAACACCGGUGGCGAAGGCGGCAUCCUGGACCGACACUGACGCUGAGGAGCGAAAGCCAGGGGAGCAAACGGG